Molecule: long non-coding RNA, 1685 nt
Organism: Astyanax mexicanus (Mexican tetra)
Lineage: Eukaryota; Metazoa; Chordata; Actinopteri; Characiformes; Acestrorhamphidae
Exons: 2
Source: RefSeq, a predicted model, not a curated record
CAAUUUCAGAAUGAAAUUAAGAAAGAAUUUUUUUUUUUUUAGUCUUAAAAGGGAUACAUUUACUUCCAGUGGUAUAGUAGCAUGUGUUUAACUUGUAUUCAUAUGCUUAUAGUUAAGGUUGCACCGAUAACGUAUCGGUAUCGGCACCGAUACUGGCACGUACACAUAGUAUUGGUAUCGGCAAUGGGUAUCGACCCAUUUAGUACUAUCAGCACUGCACUGGCUUCCAGUCAAAUUCCGCAUAGACUAUAAAAUUCUCCUGUUAACAUAUAAAGCCCUACAUGGGCUCGCUCCUGAGUAUUUACAAGACCUCAUCUCCUGUUAUGAACCACCGCGAUUACUUAGAUCUCAGGGUGCUGGUUUAUUAGUAGUUCCUAAAAUUCAGAGGAGCUCUGCAGGAGGAAGAGCUUUCUCUUAUAAAGCGCCUCAACUCUGGAAUAAUCUCCCCGAAUAUGUUCGGGACUCAGACACAGUCUCAAUCUUUAAGUCUAGACUGAAAACUUACUUGUUUAGUUUAGCUUUUGGUAAUUAAUGUUUUUCCCUUUAGAUAAGGCUGCAGAUUCAGGGGUUCAUGGACAGAGGAAAUUGUGGUAAACUGAGAUGCUGGUGCUGUUGUUCUCCCACUGCACACGGUCACUCAGGUUUGUGGACGGUGGAGUGGGUGGAGGCCAGUGUUUCAGGGAGCCUUCAUGUCUAUGUUACCUUCUGGCGCUCUGCCUUUUGUUAGGCUGUUUUAUUUAGAUCUGCCGGAGUCAUUAGCCACACUCUGAUAAUGUUUUAUAUUCUCUGUUUUACAUAAAUCCAGUCAAAACUAAUUCCAUCUCUCUGCCUUCCUCUGAGUUACUGACUGCCCACCUGUCUGACCCGAUACCGAGGGAUGUUGGACCCUCAGGCUCUCAUGUCGUCUGUCUGGCCAGACUGGAAGUUUCUGAAGUCAGCUCUUCUCCAUCACCCACCACAGAUCAGCUGCUCAUCAUCCAUCUUACUCUAUAAGCCAUUAGUGGAGCUGCUAUACACCUGAAUAUAUAAAACCUAUGUGGAUGUAUGAAAGACUUUUUAAAAUUAAUUUAAAAGCCAUUUGACCAGUGGUAGGAUGGUCCCCCCUUUAAUGUACCCUAGCCAGCCUGUAGGUGGCAGCACCACCAGUAAUGCCCAAUGCAAGAAAACACCAGAAGAAGAAAUAGGGGUGUGGCUUCACAUGUAACAAAAGCUCCCCUGAGGCAGGAACAAAGCCUCUUUGAGUUUGCCCACAGACAGGUAAACAUCUGAACAAAGAGACCAGAACAUCAAGACCAAGGCCUCUCCUUUGUUCUACCAAGAGAACAAAGAGAACAUCUUUAGGCCUACAUCUUCAAGAUUACAACUUUAGCCAAACGUCUGAUCAACGUUUACACACGGCUAUUUCUUCAAGACAAGCUUGCACGAGAUACAUAGCUCGGAAAAGAAAAGAAAAGCGACCGAGAGAACACGUGUGCACACUCGCAUACGCGAAAACCCCCUUUCCGUCUCUAUCGCGCGCACACACGCGCACGCACUCACCCGCUCUCUCUCUCUCUCUCUCUCCCUCAUACACACACCCUUAGCUAAAUAAACAUUUAGCUCUCAUAUUGUAAAUAUACUGACUGCUGUUUGUAAUAUUUGUGUUUAGAUUAGUUUGUGUGUUAAUAAAUGUCCAUUUAUUUUCA